This 301-nucleotide ribosomal RNA is filed under the name uncultured Ignicoccus sp. RNAcentral describes it as "bacterial SSU rRNA". It matches the Rfam family "Bacterial small subunit ribosomal RNA", at positions 497 to 795 of the family's 1533-position model. Lineage: Archaea; Thermoproteati; Thermoproteota; Thermoprotei; Desulfurococcales; Desulfurococcaceae. The record is from RNAcentral.
UUAACGACGGGCCAGAAGGCUCGGUUAUACGUAGGGUGCAAGCAUUAUCCGGAGUGACUGGUAGGAAAGAGUUGCGUAGGCGGUUCGUAAAGGUAAUAGUGAAAGCUGGUGGCUCAACCAGACAGACUAUUAUUCAAACUCACGAACUCGAGAAUGGUAGAGGUAACUGGAAUUUCUUGUGUAGGAGUGAAAUCCGUAGAUAUAAGAAGGAACACCAAUGGCGUAGGCAGGUUACUGGACCAUUUCUGACGCUAAGGCACGAAAGCGUGGGGAGCGAACCGGAUUAGAUACCCUGGUAGUC